Molecule: unclassified non-coding RNA, 303 nt
Filed under: uncultured Cortinarius
Lineage: Eukaryota; Fungi; Basidiomycota; Agaricomycetes; Agaricales; Cortinariaceae
Description: sequence contains ITS2
Rfam family: 5.8S ribosomal RNA (bases 1-52)
Source: RNAcentral
AACGCACCUUGCGCUCCUUGGUAUUCCGAGGAGCAUGCCUGUUUGAGUGUCAUUAAUAUAUCAAUCUCUUCAGCUUUUGCUUGUUGAGUAUUGGAUGUGGGGGUAUAUUGUUUGUUGGCCUUUUCUUCUGAGGUCAGCUCCCCUGAAAUGUAUUAGCGGAACAAUUUGUUGACCGUUCAUUGGUGUGAUAAAAACUAUCUACGCUAUUGACGUGAAGCAGGUUCUGCUUCUAACAGUCCAUUGACUUGGACAACUCUUCAUUAAUGUGACCUCAAAUCAGGUAGGACUACCCGCUGAACUUAA